UGUAGAACAUUGCUCUAAAUUUAUAAAUUGCUAUGGAACUAAUGCUGAGCUUUUGGUUUCCUUGAGUGCCAGGCAAUAAUCUGGAAGAAUAAUAAAGAAACAUACAUAGAGCAAGGCAAAGCACAGUACUCGGCAUUUUAUACGCAUUACAUUACUGAUUCCUCAAAGUCACCCUCUGAAGUUGAUGCUGUGAAGAUCCCAUUUUACAGAUAAGAAAACCGAGGCCCCAAAAGGGUUAAAAGCCCAGCACUUUUACGUAGUGGAGACCAAGGCUCAAGGAGGCAAAACGGACCAGCCCAAAGUCUCACAGCUGGUCAGUGUUGGAGCUGACACUUGCAUCCAGGGUGUCUGACCCAGGACCCCUUGUUUCCUCUGCAACUCCCUACCCACACUGUGA
Herpailurus yagouaroundi (jaguarundi) is the source of this 397-nucleotide long non-coding RNA. RefSeq lists it as uncharacterized. The record is from RefSeq and is a predicted model, not a curated record. The transcript is spliced from 2 exons. NCBI's taxonomy places the organism in Eukaryota, Metazoa, Chordata, Mammalia, Carnivora, Felidae.